UACGUAGGGUGCGAGCGUUGUCCGGAAUUAUUGGGCGUAAAGGGCUCGUAGGCGGUUUGUCGCGUCGGGAGUGAAAACCAGGUGCUUAACACCUGGCUUGCUUUCGAUACGGGCAGACUAGAGGUAUUCAGGGGAGAACGGAAUUCCUGGUGUAGCGGUGAAAUGCGUAGAUAUCGGGAGGAACACCAGUGGCGAAGGCGACUACCUGGCCCAUUCUUGACGCUGAGGCGCGAAAGCUAGGGGAGCGAACGGG
This 253-nucleotide ribosomal RNA is filed under the name uncultured bacterium. Its description in RNAcentral is "partial 16S ribosomal RNA". It matches the Rfam family "Bacterial small subunit ribosomal RNA", at positions 524 to 776 of the family's 1533-position model. The record is from RNAcentral.